Molecule: ribosomal RNA, 915 nt
Filed under: Triticum aestivum (bread wheat)
Lineage: Eukaryota; Viridiplantae; Streptophyta; Magnoliopsida; Poales; Poaceae
Description: partial small subunit ribosomal RNA
Source: RNAcentral
AUGUCAUCAGUUGAGUCUCUAGGCCUGUUUCUUUGGAUAGUAGGUUCCCCUCAAUCUGUAAGACAAGCAGCAAACAGAUUUGUUAGGUCAUUGGAGACAAUUGUAAGGAAGUUUGAUAAGGUUUUGGAAUGUCUGAUCAAGCUUGCAAAAGACAUCAUCAGGCCAGUAGAUCGUCAAUUCAGAACUGUGCAUUCAAAAUUAAGAUCUAGAAAGUAUGCACCAUUUAUGGAUAAUUGCAUUGGUGCAAUAGAUGGGACACACAUACAAGUUGUGGUACCACUUGCCACUGCUGCCCAGCAUAGGAAUAGACAUAAGGAGAAGAGUCAGAAUGUGAUGGUGUGUGACUUUGAUAUGAGAUUCACAUUUGUCCUAGCUGGUUGGCCAGGAUCAGUGCAUGACAUGAGGGUCUUCAAUGAUGCACGAUCCAGAUUUGGUGACAAGUUUCCAAAACCACCACCUAAUAAGUUUUAUCUUGUGGACUCAGGGUACCCAAAUAGACCGGGUUAUCUUGCACCAUACAAGGGUUUAACCUAUCAUUUCCAGGAGUACCGUGAUGGCACAAUGCCUAGAGGAAAAAAGGAACACUUCAAUUUCACCCAUUCUUCACUUAGAAAUGUCAUCGAGAGGUGUUUUGGAGUCUUGAAGAACAAGUGGAGGAUUUUGUUUCACUUGCCUAGUUAUCCACAGCAGAAACAAAGCAAAAUCAUUGUGGCUUGCAUUGCACUGCACAAUUUUAUUAGACAAAGUCAACUGCCCGAUAUAGAGUUCGACAAGUGUGAUCAAGAUGAAAACUAUGUACCAUUGUCUAUGCCAACGACCACAAAAAAUGAUUCAACAAAUGAGAUGGACAGUGCUGCUAUGAAUCAAUUCAGAGCUUGGGUCGCUGAUGGGUUGUGGUCCUUGAAACAACAAUGA